GGAGGCUCCUAUCGAAGCCGUUGUUGCUCUUUUUGUAGCAUUGAACGGUCAAAAGGAAGCCAACAGAAAAACUUUCACUGACGGUCGCUGCUCAGUUACCAAAAAUAACUGAUACAGCAACAAUUUGGGGGAAGGACAUUU
This is a small nucleolar RNA of Phycodurus eques (leafy seadragon), 141 nucleotides long. Lineage: Eukaryota; Metazoa; Chordata; Actinopteri; Syngnathiformes; Syngnathidae. The record is from RefSeq and is a predicted model, not a curated record.